UGUGAGUGUUUAGAGCCUGGCUUCUAGAGUGUGACCAAUCUGUGUCUCUAUUGCAGCAAGAUAAAGCCGAUCUUAUUCGGCCGAAACGCAAGUAUGAAAAGAAGCCCAAAGUCUUACCAUCGUCUGCUGCUGCUCAGCAGGCGUGUCCCGCUGCACUGCCAGUCUUUAAUGCUAAAGAUUUAAACCAGUACGAUUUCCCCAGCUCGGAUGAAGAACCGCACUCCCAGGUUUUAUCUGGCUCUUCAGAAGCUGAGGAAGAGAAUGACCCCGAUGGCCCCUUUGCUUUCCGUAGGAAAGCAGGCUGUCAGUACUAUGCUCCUCACUUAGACCAAACUGGUAACUGGCCUUGGACUAGUCCUAAAGAUGGAGGAUUAGGGGAUGUGCGAUACAGAUACUGCUUAACUGCUCUCACUGUACCCCAAAGGUGUAUCGGAUUUGCACGAAGAAGGGUUGGGCGUGGUGGAAGGUAAUGUAUUCCGUUUUCCUUUCAUUGGCUUUUUUUUUUUUUUUUUUUUUUUGGUCGCUUUGAGACAGGGUCUCCCUGUAGCCCCAGCUGUCCUAGAACUCACUAUGUAGACCAGGCUGGCCUUGAACUCACAGAGAUCCACCUGCCUCUGUCUCCCGAGUGCUGGGAUUGAAGACAUGCACCACCAUGCCCGGCUUCAUUAGCAUAUUUUUAGACAUUAGGAAAAUUAAGUUUGUAAAUUGAGGCACGCUUCAUAGCAGCCAAGUGGUUCCUGUUUGUUCUUAACUGAAUUGUUGACAUUCUGCUCGCUUCUUUCCUAGUGCAUGAUUCCAGUAGAUCCCAGUGGAUUUUCUUUUCUCCCCAGGAUUCAUUAAAAACCUCAGCUAACUUGUCACAGAAUUCUCAGAAAAGACGAACGCUAAAGACAAGUGUGUGCUUACACCCUACAAGAAAGUUGUUGAAUUCUGGGGGAAAGAAUUGAAUACAUGAAGAAGUGUUACAUUAAAUAAUAAAAU
Molecule: long non-coding RNA, 981 nt
Filed under: Nannospalax galili (Upper Galilee mountains blind mole rat)
Lineage: Eukaryota; Metazoa; Chordata; Mammalia; Rodentia; Spalacidae
Description: lncRNA (ENSNGAG00000024412.1)
Source: RNAcentral